Molecule: ribosomal RNA, 427 nt
Filed under: uncultured bacterium
Lineage: Bacteria
Description: partial 16S ribosomal RNA
Rfam family: Bacterial small subunit ribosomal RNA
Source: RNAcentral
UGGGGAAUAUUGCACAAUGGGCGCAAGCCUGAUGCAGCCAUGCCGCGUGUAUGAAGAAGGCCUUCGGGUUGUAAAGUACUUUCAGCGGGGAGGAAGGCGAUAAGGUUAAUAACCUUGUCGAUUGACGUUACCCGCAGAAGAAGCACCGGCUAACUCCGUGCCAGCAGCCGCGGAAAUACGGAGGGGUCAAGCGUUAAUCGGAAUUACAGGGCGUAAAGCGCACGCAGGCGGUCUGUCAAGUCGGAUGUGAAAUCCCCGGGCUCAACCUGGGAACUGCAUUCGAAACUGGCAGGCUAGAGUCUUGUAGAGGGGGGUAGAAUUCCAGGUGUAGCGGUGAAAUGCGUAGAGAUCUGGAGGAAUACCGGUGGCGAAGGCGGCCCCCUGGACAAAGACUGACGCUCAGGUGCGAAAGCGUGGGGAGCAAACA